This 268-nucleotide ribosomal RNA is filed under the name uncultured Latescibacterota bacterium. Its description in RNAcentral is "uncultured Latescibacteria bacterium partial 16S ribosomal RNA". It matches the Rfam family "Bacterial small subunit ribosomal RNA", at positions 1112 to 1382 of the family's 1533-position model. Lineage: Bacteria; Pseudomonadati; Candidatus Latescibacterota. The record is from RNAcentral.
UAGUUGCCAUCAGGUAAGCUGGAACUCUGGGGAGACUGCCGGUGAUAAACCGGAGGAAGCGGGGAUGACGUCAAGUCCUCAUGGCCCUUACAUCCCGGGCUACACACGUGCUACAAUGGCAGGUACAGAGGGCUGCGAAGCCGCGAGGUGGAGCGAAUCCCAGAAAACCUGUCUCAGUCCGGAUUGAAGUCUGCAACUCGACUUCAUGAAGGCGGAAUCGCUAGUAACCGCGAAUCAGCAGGUCGCGGUGAAUACGUUCCCGGGCCUU